Molecule: ribosomal RNA, 271 nt
Filed under: uncultured bacterium
Lineage: Bacteria
Description: partial 16S ribosomal RNA
Rfam family: Bacterial small subunit ribosomal RNA
Source: RNAcentral
UACGAAGGGGGCUAGCGUUGCUCGGAAUCACUGGGCGUAAAGGGUGCGUAGGCGGGUUUUUAAGUCAGAGGUGAAAUCCUGGAGCUCAACUCCAGAACUGCCUUUGAUACUGGGAAUCUUGAGUAUGGAAGAGGUGAGUGGAACUGCGAGUGUAGAGGUGAAAUUCGUAGAUAUUCGCAAGAACACCAGUGGCGAAGGCGGCUCACUGGUCCAUAACUGACGCUGAGGCACGAAAGCGUGGGGAGCAAACAGGAUUAGAUACCCGGGUAGU